CAGGGUGUGUGAAUUCAGAGAUGAAAAAUUCAGGGAUGUGAAUCCAGGGAUGUGAAUUUAAGAAGGUGAAUCCAGGGAUGUGAAUUUAAGAAUGUGAAUUCAGGGAUGUGAAUUUAAGAAGGUGAAUUCAGGGAUGUGAAUUUAAGAAGGUGAAUUCAGGGAUGUGAAUUUAAGAAUGUGAAUUCAGGGAUGUGAAUUUAAGAAGGUGAAUUCAGGGAUGUGAAUUUAAGAAGGUGAAUUCAGGGAUGUAAGCUCCCAGGCCAGAAGCUUUGAGUGCUUUUGUAGGGGGUCACUCCUGCUUUUCCCACAAAAACCCCUCCUGGCCAGCAAACCUCUCCUGGCCUUUGGGGCUGGUGUAACCCUGUUGGGAUUCUUUCAGACUGAGGAGUUGGGCUGGAUUCCUGUGGGUCUCUUCCAGCUCAGGAUAUCCUGGGAUUCUCUGGAACUGUUUAUUCUCCACUUAGAGCUGGGCUUGUCCAGUAGCUGGAGGAGGUUUGGCAGCUGGUGGGAGCUCAGGGCAGAUUCAGAAUGGUCAAGUUUUCCACUGAUGCAGAAAUUUUCUGUUUGAAGAAGCACCUCAGUGUCCUUGUGGACAAAUAUUGGAAAUGAAACAUCAGAAACGCAGGAAAUUUAGAGGGCAGGGAUGGAUGGGACCUUGGGAAUUAGGAAUUGUUCCCUGGCAGGGUGGGAAAGGUGCCCAGAGCAGCUGGGGCUGCCCCUGGGUCCCUGGCAGUGCCCAAGGCCAGGCUGGACACUGGGACAGUGAAGGUUGGGCAGGGAUGUCCCCAAGAAGGGAGGUGGCUCUGGGAUCUCCCAGCUGGGCAGGGAUGUCCCCAAGGAGGGAGGUGGCUCUGGGAUUUCCCAUCAGAGCAGGGAUGUCCCCAAGGAGGGAGGUGGCUCUGGGAUCUCCCAUUUGGACAGGGAUGUCCCCAAGGAGGGAGGUGACUCUGGGAUCUCCCAGCUGGGCAGGGAUGUCCCCAAGGAGGGAGGUGGCUCUGGGAUCUCCCAUCAGAGCAGGGAUGUCCCCAAGGAGGGAGGUGUCUCUGGGAUCUCCCAUCAGAGCAGGGAUGUCCCCAAGGAGGGAGGUGGCUCUGGGAUCUUCCCAGCUGGGCAGGGAUGUCCCCAAGGAGGGAGGUGGCUCUGGGAUCUCCCAGCUGGGCAGGGAUGUCCCCAAGGAGGGAGGUGGCUCUGGGAUCUCCCAGCUGAGCAGGGAUGUCCCCAAGGAGGGAGGUGGCUCUGGGAUCUCCCAUUUGGACAGGGAUGUCCCCAAGGAGGGAGGUGGCUCUGAGAUUUCCCGGCUGAGCAGGGAUGUCCCCAAGGAGGGAGGUGGCUCUGGGAUGUUCUUCCCCUGCUGCUGCUCCAGCCCCUUCCCAGCCUGUGCCAGCUCAGUGUGAAAUGUGCCCUUCAUUGUCACCUGCCUUCUGGUGGCACAGGAUUGUCCAUUCCUCCCUGACCUCCUUUCUGCCUAAAUCCUGGCCAGCAUUUGGUUAAUGGGAUGAGUGGAGCAGAUCCUGCAAUCUGGGUCAAAUCCUUCAGCCCCCCGGGGCUCCUGCUGUGUUUUCUGGGGGUGACUGAGCAGGAAUUUCACGUCCCCAGGGGAUGUUAGAGCUGACCCACUUCUGUGCCAGGCUGCCAUUGCAGGGGUGAUGCCCUCUGGCAGGAAAUGGGCAGCUUCUGCUGGAAUUCCCUGCUGGGAAGGGGUGGCUGGAUGUGGGGCUGAGGUGGAACCAGAGGAUCAGGUUUUGCUGCCUGGCUCUGCAGAGUUUGUCUGAGCCAGGUGGGAGCUGCUCAGCUGCUGUGCAUUGGUGGAUUUAGGAAGUUUUGGUUCUGUUUCCAGGAAGGAACCCGAGUGGAAGUGCUGGUUGUGUUUAUAACAUCAAUUAAAAAUCCCUCUUUGCUUAAGGGAAUAACCAAUAGGGGAAAUUCCAAAGUGCAUUUUUGCGGAAGCAUUCCUGGGCUGAGGUGCUCCUUCACAUCCAGGAGGAUCUCUGAAUUAAACCUUGAUGGGCUGAUAAAAACACCCCCAGCCAACCCCAGCCACUUCAAACACAGGUUUUAAUUGUGGCCAUUGCCAUGACUCACUGUCAGGUUUAUGUGGGCAGCACUUGCAUCACUCAGAGCUUUCCUAAAUUACACAGGAGCGUGGCCAGCUCUUCCUGCUGCCAGGGGCAGAGCCCUGAGCUGCCCUUCAGCCCAGCCAGGGGGAUGGAAAUCCCACACUGAGGGAGGGUUUCAGCUCUCUGGGACAGUGAAGGUGGCCCUGCCGUGGCAGGAGUGGCACUGGAUGGGCUGUAGGGUCCCUUCCCACCCAAACCAUGCCAGGGUUAAUGGUUUUUGUUGACAGUGAGUUUGGCUCAGUUGGCCAGAGCUGAGUUUCCUCUCAGACUCUGUCCUGUGGCACAGUAGGAUUUUAUUUCUUUACACACAGUGACUAUAAAUGACUCAGGUGAAAGAUCUGAUAUGGGAUUAAAAGGGCAGAGGAGAGGGGAGAAGCUCCUUAAGGUGUAUCAGUUCUUUCAAGGUGUAUUUGUUUUGUUGAGAGUCCCUUUAAUCCUCAUUCCUGGUUCUUCUGGACCAGCCUGUCUGGCAGCAGGAGCUGCAGCUGGAGCUGUGAGCUGCUUUGUUUAUCUCAGCAGGCUGAGAGCUGGUGUGAAACAUUUCCUGGAGAGCACAGAGAGGCUGUGCCCAGGGCAGUGCCCCUGAGCUGGGGCUGGCACCUCUGUCCCAGGGCUGGCCUUGCCCAGCACAAGGAGCUUUGAUCCUGGCCUGGCAGGGCCCCAGCGAGCCAGGCCAGCAGCUGGGGUAGCCACAGAGCCAUGGAGGGUGGGAAAGGCCUCCAGGAUCAGGGAGUGCAGCCUAGUGCUGGGCUUUGUGCCUUGUGCUCUGAGAUUGGUGUGCUUUGGGGGUUUGGGAGCCAUGUCUGUGCUUUGGG
Serinus canaria (Common canary) is the source of this 2932-nucleotide long non-coding RNA. RefSeq lists it as uncharacterized. The transcript is spliced from 3 exons. The record is from RefSeq and is a predicted model, not a curated record. Lineage: Eukaryota; Metazoa; Chordata; Aves; Passeriformes; Fringillidae.